CCGAACGGUCGGCGGGCGAUCCGCGUCGGUCUCGCUGGGUGGUAUGGUUCCCCAGAGGCCGGUUCUUGUGCUGCCUACCCCUCCAGGGGAAGCGGGCCGCUCGAUGCAAGCCUCCAUCCCGCGCCCCCCCAACGGGCGCAGGAGGACAACUUAGCACCCCCCGCGUUCCACCGAGCCUCCUCGGUCGCGUGGCGCGCGGGGACGUGCGAUGCUCUCGGACCCAGCGAACGCCGUGGGCGAGGACUCACGUCCCAGUCCCGAUAGAAGCUCCCACAUAAUGCUGACGGCCGCUCCCGUCCCCCGACCGCCCCGGCGGCGUGGGGGCGUGGCGCGGCGUCGCGGAGGAAUGCUACCU
RNAcentral lists this unclassified non-coding RNA (355 nucleotides) under Acacia leptocarpa. RNAcentral's name for it is "partial external transcribed spacer". The record is from RNAcentral. Lineage: Eukaryota; Viridiplantae; Streptophyta; Magnoliopsida; Fabales; Fabaceae.